ACGCUCGACACCUACGGGAUGCAGCAGUGGGGAAUAUUGGGCAAUGGAGGCAACUCUGACCCAGCAACGCCGCGUGAGUGAUGAAGGUCUUCGGAUUGUAAAACUCUUUAAGUAGGGACGAAGAAAGUGACGGUACCUACAGAAUAAGCCUCGGCUAACUACGUGCUAGCAGCCGCGGUAAUCUGAGCGGGCUGGCAAGGC
RNAcentral lists this ribosomal RNA (201 nucleotides) under uncultured bacterium. Its description in RNAcentral is "partial 16S ribosomal RNA". It matches the Rfam family "Bacterial small subunit ribosomal RNA", at positions 326 to 539 of the family's 1533-position model. The record is from RNAcentral.